GGGAGAGACAUUUAGUUAUUUAUUGGAAUUGCAGUAUAGCUGUUUUCACAAAUGCUCGAUACAUCAUCUCAUCAUAAGAUGAUUGUUGUGUAAUAAAUACAAGAUAGUCGUGUCUAUCGAGAAUAAUGUGGUCAUUAUGUGACCCCCAGAACACCACGACAACCCUCAAGCCAAAUGAUCUGUCACACAUUGGUGAGGUUGACGGAGUGUGAUUUCCUUAGAGAGAAUCUGAACACAGAUGUUUUAUUUUUCCUUAACUUAUCUAAAUCUAAAUUAGCUUAAUUACAAUUAGAAAACAAAACAUACAUUCAUACAACAAUAAUACAAUCAGAAUACUACAAUUUGGUAAGGCACACAACUGUCUGUAUAAGGUCCCCCAGUUUACAGUGUAUUUCAGAGCAAAAACCAAGCCAAAACGUUGAAAGAAUUGUCCGUAGAGCUCAGAUCUAGGGUAGGGUAGCAAAACAUUUCUGUAGCAUUGAAGGUUCCCAAGAGCCAACAAAAGUGGCAUCCAUCUUUGUUAAAUGGAAGAAGUUUGGACCUACCAACACUCUCCCUAUAGCUGGUCGCCCGGCCAACCGAAACAAUCUGGGAGAAGGUCCUUGGAACAUGGAGGUGAGACCACUCAGUAAAAAGCAUAUGAAAGCCCAUUUGCAUGACCCUAACCACACAGCCAAGACAAGGCAGGGGUGGCUUCAAGACAAGUCUGUGAAUUUCCUUUAGUGGCCCAGAACACACACUUGAAAACUAUGAAACAUCUGUGGAAAGACCUAAAAUGUCUGACAGAGCUUAACAGGACAAGCUAUGUAGCACACAAGUCAACACAUGGUGUCAACACAUGUAAACAAACUACUUUUCCCAUGAGAACCACAGACUGAGGACACCAAAACAAUAUGAUAUAUAUUUUGUUAAAUUUCUUUUCCCAAAUUCUCCCCAAAUCUACACAAAAGGUUUGCACCUUUUGAUACUGAUCGUAAUUAUAGAUUAUACAAAAAUAAACAACGUAUAUUACACAUUCAACCCAAAUGGGAGGUUAACGUUUUCUGUUAUUCAUAAGUAAUUACGUGGAUUAUAAUUCAUGUGCAUUUUGUUGUUUGAUUUGACAUUUCUAAG
Molecule: long non-coding RNA, 1113 nt
Organism: Esox lucius (northern pike)
Lineage: Eukaryota; Metazoa; Chordata; Actinopteri; Esociformes; Esocidae
Source: Ensembl